UACUCCUACGGGAGGCAGCAGUGGGGAAUUUUGCGCAAUGGGGGAAACCCUGACGCAGCAACGCCGCGUGAGUGAUGAAGGCCUUCGGGUCGUAAAGCUCUGUCUAGAGGAAAGAAAUGUUUGGCGGCUAAUAUCCGUUGAACUUGACGGUACCUCUGAAGGAAGCACCGGCUAACUCCGUG
This 182-nucleotide ribosomal RNA is filed under the name uncultured Geobacter sp. Its description in RNAcentral is "partial 16S ribosomal RNA". It matches the Rfam family "Bacterial small subunit ribosomal RNA", at positions 334 to 507 of the family's 1533-position model. The record is from RNAcentral. Lineage: Bacteria; Pseudomonadati; Thermodesulfobacteriota; Desulfuromonadia; Geobacterales; Geobacteraceae.